UUCAAAGAAAGAAGGAGAAGAAGAAUGUUAACUAUAACGUGCUUCAAUCAAUCAAUCUACAAGAAGGUCUUCUUCAAAAGGCGCUCUCGCUCUCUUCUUCUUCUUGUUAAUCCUCUUGUCUUCACUAACACGGAGGAGACACAGAAAGAUUGAACUUUUAUCCAUAGAAUUUUGCCUUACAAUAAUAAUAAUGAAAGAGGGAAAAGGGCAGAGAGAACAAACCCUAAGAAAACAACCUUUUAAGUUUUAUCCCUUCUCCAAGUUCCAGCUCCAAC
Long non-coding RNA from Telopea speciosissima, 275 nucleotides. RefSeq lists it as uncharacterized. The transcript has 3 exons. The record is from RefSeq and is a predicted model, not a curated record. Lineage: Eukaryota; Viridiplantae; Streptophyta; Magnoliopsida; Proteales; Proteaceae.